This 419-nucleotide RNase P RNA is filed under the name Chlorobiota bacterium. RNAcentral's name for it is "RNase P RNA component class A". It matches the Rfam family "Bacterial RNase P class A". From Rfam's summary of the family: Ribonuclease P (RNase P) is a ubiquitous endoribonuclease, found in archaea, bacteria and eukarya as well as chloroplasts and mitochondria. Its best characterised activity is the generation of mature 5'-ends of tRNAs by cleaving the 5'-leader elements of precursor-tRNAs. Cellular RNase Ps are ribonucleoproteins. The record is from RNAcentral. Lineage: Bacteria; Pseudomonadati; Chlorobiota.
CGUGCAGGCUGUUCUAUCGUCCCGCGUUAUGCGGGGAGGAAAGUCGGGACAACACAGAGCGCCAUACUUCCUAACAGGAAGGACUCUCGUUUGAAACGGGAGGACAGCAAGUGCCACAGAAAAUAACCGCCUAUGUCGGAGCUUUGGAUUAGGCAAACCUGCCUUCGCUGAAGCUUCGGCAGGCAAGGGUGAAAACGUGGGGUAAGAGCCCACGCGAUGUUGUGGUGACACAGCAUCGGGGUAAACCUUAUGGGUUGCAAGUCCAAAUAUGCCGGUGCGCUCGUUAGAAACGGGAUAAGGGUUGCUCGCCCGAUGCCGGCGGGUAGGACGCUAGAGCCAUACAGUGAUGUAUGGCCCAGAGAAAUGAUAGAAUCCCGUACACACGGGAACAGAAUCCCGCUUACAGGCCUGCACGGCUU